Hyla sarda is the source of this 589-nucleotide long non-coding RNA. RefSeq lists it as uncharacterized. The transcript is spliced from 3 exons. Lineage: Eukaryota; Metazoa; Chordata; Amphibia; Anura; Hylidae. The record is from RefSeq and is a predicted model, not a curated record.
CCGGCCUGGAGCGAGAAGUGGGCCUCCUGGUUAAGAUGGACAGCCUGGAAUGACUAACCCUCCCCACCGGACGGUCCCUGCAGCAUAGAUGGCCCGGACCAGCCCACCCUUCCUUCCCAUCGACGGGAGGUUGCCCCACCCAUUGCAGCAUGGCCACACUACCUUUGAUCAGAUGACUUACCCGACAUCACCUGACAAGCCCUGAAUCUGGGUGAUGACAUGUGCGCCUGUAACGUCAUGAGGGGGCUGGCUUCACACACAACAGAUGAAGCAGCCAAGCCUCCUUUUAGCACCUGACUUGUCUUGAAUUGUCUCGGGCCGCACAGCAAGCUGGGAAAGGUAGGAGAUAACACUCAUCCGGGGACAAGAAAUGAAAAGAAAUUCAAUACCAGCCACCAAACACAGGACCAACCUGUCUUCUGUCCAGUCUUAGUCAUUCCAUUACCCGAGGAUGCUACACCUCAGUUGCUUGCCUCCUGGAGCCUUGGGCAUUGCAGAACAUCAGGGAGUACUACAAAGUACAGGAAUCCUGCUGGAAGCCAACAAUUGAGGAUUGAACCCCUUUUAGUGGAAAAAGUAAAUGGCUGGG